CCGAUAUUAACAAAGUGUGCCCGGCUCCGUUACAAGUGAAGGGAUCUGAUGGAAGCGUAAUUGCGUGCAAGAGCGCUUGCUUAGCAUUCAACCAGCCAAAAUACUGUUGCACUCCACCUAACGACAAGCCGGAGACAUGCCCUCCCACUGAUUACUCUAAGCUCUUCAAGACCCAGUGCCCUCAAGCUUAUAGCUAUGCUUAUGAUGACAAGAGCAGCACCUUCACAUGCAGUGGUAGACCUGACUACCUCAUCACAUUCUGCCCAUAAGCAUAUAUAUAUAUAUAGAAUGGGAUCUUAUAUGAUAUGAUAUUAUACAUAUAGUUCCCAAUAAAUAAAUUUCCUGGAUCUUGACACAUUGUUGAUGUCAAGAAUUUGUAAUGCAGACGAUCAAAUAACGUAAAUGUUUGGAUUUUAUUUUCGUUCAUGGCUUUCAAAUUUUUGUUUCCUUCAUUUCUUUAUAUGAUGCAUUAUUUCCAGCAACAAAACAUGAGCAUAAUAUAAAGAGAGUUAGCUGCAAUUGAAAUGGUUAUCAAACGGGAGUUUAAAUACGGAUUGUAAUUUUCUGUCAUGCCUGGUGUUGAUGCGAAAAAGUGGUUUGAUACGUAAUUCGUCAACUUAGUCAAAAUGUCCCUUCGGUAGGUCCCCGUCCUUGGUAAGUGGUCCACUCCAGAGGGUCAAGUACCUGCAAAAGGACGCGUUCGGUAAAUCCUUGGGGUACCGGUGCGGUACCGGCCGAAGGCUCUCCGAUGCCUAAAUGAGUACGGAUUUAGUAAGGUUAACUGACAGAUCACACGAUAGCGUACCGUUAGUUCUUCUUCUUCCCUUUUGGGGAUAUGGGUCUCCUUAUAUAGACCUUGGGAGGUGUGCUUUGUGCUCAUUUUUCCGAUGUGGGACUCCAAGCAUGGAUUGUGAACAUGACACGUGUCUGUUGGUAAAAAGGGCCAAGAUAUAUAGCUUCGGUAGUGAGCAUGCCGUAGGGGCCCUGUGAUCAGAGUGGAUCCUGUCCACGUGUCCGGUGGAAAUAGGCCGUUUAAUUAGGUAUAAACAGUAGUCCCUCAAGUUCUCUUUCGAAGGUUCUUCGGAAGGGAAUUUGGUUUUCCUUGGUAGUUCGGAGGUUCUCCUGCCGUUCGGCAUGCUCAUUUGGGGGGAGGAAAGGCGCUUGAGUUGUUCCUUUCGGAAAGUAGUGUUCUGGGAAAAUCGGUCGGGGACUUGAAGGGUCGCCAAUGUUGAGAGGCGAGAGGGCAGAGAGACGCUUCGUCUUCCGUGCCUGGCGCGCAGAUAGAGGCGCCAUUUGCCGGGUGACGCGUGGCCAGCAAUAACACGCCUGUUGGUGCAUUAAUGAGCCGUUUCGUCUCCCGAGGCGUACCGUUACAGUUCUCCCUCUAUAAAUAGAGGUUGCUCUGUAUGAAAAAAUUCACUUUGCAAUUGUGAGUUUGCGCGAGAGCUCUUGAGUAGGCGAUUUUUGAAGUGUGCGAACGGCAAGCAAGGCGAUUUUCGAAGCGUGCGAACGGUAAGCUAGGCGAUUUUCGAAGCGUGCGAACGGCAAGCUAGGCGAUUUUCAUAGCACUCAAGGUAAGAUACCGUUCGGUACCCCUGAAUUUUGUUAUACUUCUGUAUAUGGCAUAGGCUCGCCGAUCGUUAAGUAGGAUCUUCCUUCGGUAGUCUAGUGGCCAUAGGUAGAGAAGUAGGUAUCUGUAGGAUAGCGCAGCACGCACCUUAGUUUUUCCCUUUUUCUUGUUUUGUAGAUGUCCGAUAGCGAGUCACCGUUCGGCGAUGAGCCCAACGCUUUCGACGGGGAGCUAUCUUCCGGCUGGGGUACGUCCAGCGAGGCCGUGAGCCUCGGCGCCGAGGGCGGGGAAGACUCCGAUGCCGAGCUAUUCGGUGAGGAGGCGGAUUCCAUUCCCACCCACGGCAUCGGUAAGGGGUUCAUGACGGGGCACCCGUUACCCCUGGUCGCGGUGUACAGGGACGGUACCCGUGUCGUGCCGUCUGAGCACCAGCCAGAGGCUUCCACCUCCGGCAAUGAUGAGUGUGUUGCCGGUCCCUCUCGGCCGAGAGUUACGAUCGUCCACCGAGAGCGGUAUAGGAUACCGGUGGGCAUACCGCAGAAGACCCUGUUCGGGGUUGAUUAUUUGGGGCCGAACAAACUUACCGAACGGGAGCUUCAAAAGAUUAGGGCCGAAUACCUCAUUCCUGACUCGGUGAAGAUGAGGGUCCCGAGCCCGGUCGAGUCCCUCAGCGACCCUGGGGAUGGUGAAGUCGUCUUCUUCACCGAUAUGCUGGUGCAGGGGGUCAGGUUGCCGUUGCAGCCUGCCGUUCAGAAGUUACUUGCCCAGAUUGGGUAUGCCCCGGGCCAAUAUAACCCCAACUUUUGGGUGGCCCUGAUGGGGGUGAUAACGGCCUUUGGGAUUGCCGGGGAGGGGGAGCCUUCCUACGAGCAAUUCUCCUACCUCUACAGCGUCACUAAGUCGAAGAGUGCCGACCAUGGUGGCUGGGUUCAGGCGAACUGCCUGAAGGCUUCCGAGCGAGGUCACUUCGUCAGCUCGGUGCCGACUUCCCAGAAGUCGUGGAGGAAUCGGCGGGUGCUACUCUCUGGCCAAUGGGAAUCGCCAUCAGGAGUACGCCCGCAGUCCCCAGUACCAACGACUUUCCAAACCGCCGGUAGGUCCCUAGUUACCGAUCGGCAGGUCCCUAGUUGCCUUUCUGUUUUCUUUUUAUAUUUGCUCACUCAUUCUUUAUUCGGACAGGCAAACUCAAGCAGCCGACUCCUACACAAGACGAGAUUCGGCAGAUCGACAGGGUGAGGCUGAAGGUCCCUGCCGCCGAGCGAGUGUACCCGCGCUUCCUUUUCACCAAUAAUCUCAUCAGAGCCGGGCUCGUCGACCCUGCCGAGAGUAAGUGUACUUGUUGCGCUUUUCUUCCUCUUCUCUUUUUUUGUGUGCUUGCCGACUGACUGAUUGUUUUUGGCCAGUGACGGACGCAAGGAGGGCUGCCGAGGCCAAGAAGAUGAACGAAUCUUCCAGGAGGCGCCUCAUGAUGGGCCUCGAGGGCAAGAAGAAAAAGAAGCAGCUCGAGGCCCCUGCCGUUCGGUCGUCGACGGACCCCGAGGAGGUGACCCUCGCUGAGCGUAUGCGGCAGUUGGGCGCUGAGCCUGUCGCAAGGCCGGCUGUCGAUCCCCAUGCGCCGAGGCAUGCCGUCGCCGAUGCCGUCGCCUCAAGGGCUGCCGGGAAGCGGCCGAUAACGGUGGAUUUGGAAACUUCUCCGGCGUCCAAGCGAAGCCGUCCGUCAGACGCUUCCAGGGCCGUCUUUGCGGCGGAGGACGAGGAUGGGCCUACCGAGGCCGUCACUCUCGCCUGCCCCUCGAAGACGGUGCAAUUCGUCAACCAUAUGAUCCUCGGUUCUCAGAUGGAGCUGCCGGAGGUUGACGAGUUGCCGAAGAAGGUUCUUCGGGAGCAGGCUGGACGCGCCUUCCGACUGCAAGCAGCAGUAAGAAUUUAUCUCCCGGUGUUGUCCUUUCAUUAUUUUUUUUUCGGUGCCAAGUGGGGCUUCAAACUAUCUUCCUCGUGUGCAGGCGUCCAUGGAGAUGUGGCUGUGUGUCAAGCGGGCCAUCUCCGCUGCCGAACGGGCAAAAAAGGACUAUGACGACGGCAGGGCUAAGGUUGCCGAGGCUGGAAAGGCUAUCCAGGACCACGCCCAGCUGCUAAAGGAGAAAGAGGCUGCCGAACGGCGGGCUCUCACUUCGGAGGCGACGGUGGGCGAGAUGCGGGCCGAUCUGGAGGCAGCGCGGGCGGCUCUGGAGGCAGCGCGGAUGGCAGCGCGUGAUGCCGAGGCCGUCUCGGAGGCGGUUCAGGACGCUCUGCAGGAGUCCGAGCGGACCAAGGCUGCGGAGGUUGAGGCUGCCAUUCAAACGGCAAUCCAGGGAUACCGUUCUUCCGAGGAGUUCACUGUCCUCCUGGACAGGGAAGUUGGCUCCGAGAUGGCGGGUAUGUUGUACCGAUUCAAGCGGUACAACCCUGGUCAGAAGCUGAACCUCAACUUCGCUGCCGAUCCCCCUCCCCUUCCCGAGGGAAUAACUGAGGAGAUGAUCGAAGACUACGAGGGGGAGGAUGCUGCUGCUGACGAAGCCUGAGGGCCUCUGUAAUAGUUUUAGCCUGUCUUAUUUUUAUUGUUAUUUUGUAUCUGUACCGAACGCCUUGAUGCCGAGGGCAUCUUUAAAUUAGAUGUGCAUAUUUUGUCUAUUUUUGUCUUUUCGAUUUGAUUUUGUUUUAUCGCCGAUAGGAUUUAUAACGUUAUAGAAGUAGCUUUCGAAAUUGUCAAGUUUCGAUGGAAUCUGUAGGGUGACAAUUUCGAAAAUACCUCCUGCCGUAGGUUAGUAAAGAUGCCCCAGAACGUUAUCUUGCUUAUAUUGGCAGCCGUAGGCUAGUAGAGACUGUAACAAGAGUUUCUGAAGCAAUAGUGCCGAAGGCUUUCUAUUUAUCUUUGCCGAAAGGCAUUUACAAUUUUGUCCUACCGUAGGCUAGGUUGCAACUCUGUCCUGCCGUAGGCUAGGUUACUUGAAAUAGUACUUGAGAUGUUCCACGUUCCAAGGAUGACCGAGGGUCUUGCCGUUGGAGUCUCUUAGGCGGUAGGUUCCCGAUCGAAGGAUACCGAUGAUCUCGUAAGGUCCUUCCCAGGAAGGUCCGAGGGUUCCUUCCGUGGCAUCCUUAGUUGCUAGGGACACCUUCCUCAUGACCUAAUCACCGGCUCGGAAUGAACGGUGUCUGAUUCUGGAGUCGUAAUACCGAGAGACGCGUUGCUUGUAGGCUUCGUUUCGAAGGUUGGCAUGUGCUCGGUGCUCUUCCAGGAGGUCGAGGCUUAGAGAAAGUGCUGCUUCAUUUGGCUCUGGUGCGAAGGUUUCCGUUCGGUAGGAAGGUUCGCCAAUUUCUACCGGCACAACGGCUUCCGAACCGAAAGCCAAAGAGAAAGGGGUUUCUCCUGUGGACGUUCGGUAAGAGGUCCGAAUGGCCCAGAGCGCUUCGGGAAGCUUUUCUGGCCAGGCUCCUUUGGCUUUGUCCAGCUGCCGUUUUAGCAGUUUCUUGAUGAUUUUGUUUAUCGCUUCUACCUGACCGUUCGACUGGGGAUGGGCCGGUGAUGCGAAAAACAAGUUGAUCUUCAGGCGGGUGCAAAAGUGCCUGAAGAGUUCCGAAUCGAACUGCCUGCCGUUGUCGGUGAUGAUUGCGUACGGGAUACCGAAACGGCAACAAAUGUGAGUCCAGACGAAGUCCUCUACUCUUGCUGCCGUUAUGGUUGCAAGAGGUUCGGCCUCCACCCAUUUGGUGAAGUAGUCGACGGCAACCACAGCGUAUUUCACCUGGCCUUUACCUUGUGGCAUCGGACCGAUCAGGUCUAGCCCCCACUGUGCGAAAGGCCAAGGACUCACGAUCGGUGUCAAGGGUUCGGCGGGGAUAUGCUGUAUGUUGCCGAAACGCUGACAUUUAUCGCAUUUCUUCACAAGUGAAUUGGCGUCCUGGUGCAUGGUCGGCCAGAAGUAUCCCUGCCGAAAGGCUUUGUGUGCGAGUGACCGGGACCCAGAGUGAUCGCCGCAAACACCAUUGUGGAUUUCCCGGAGAACGUAGCUCCCCUGCUCUGCCGUAAGGCACUUGAGAUACGGAGUCGUGUAGCCACGUUUGUAAAGGACGUCGUUGAUGACGGUGUACCUUGCCGAUCGGUAUCUAAGCUUUCGGGCCUGGGCCUUGUCCUCUGGAAGGGUGCCGUUGGUUAGGUAUGAGUAGAUAGGGGACAUCCACGUAUCCUCGUACCGUACGGUACAUAUUUCGGAGGUUGCCGUGCUUGGUUGGGCAAGAAUUUCCACCGGCACCUUUCUUCCGAUUUUGUCAUUGAUUGCCGAGGCUAGUCGCGCUAAAGCAUCGGCAUGACUGUUUUCGCUCCUGGGGAUCUGUUUGAUCUCAUAGGCUCGGAAGCUCUGGAGCAGCUGGUGGGUGGACGAAAGGUAGGCGUUCAUGGAGGCGUCUCUGGCGGCGAAGUCCGCCGUUACCUGGUUCACAAUGAGUUGGGAGUCACUGUGUAUCUUGAUCUGUUUUGCGUUCAUGCUCUUGGCUAAACGAAGGCCGGCCAAGAGAGCCUCAUAUUCUGCUUCAUUGUUGGAGGUUCGGAAGUUGAAUCGGAGGGCGUACUCGAUCUUGAGUCCCUCCGGUGUUGUCAGAACCAACCCUGCUCCACACCCCUGUUGGUUUGCCGAGCCGUCGACAUGCAGAGUCCAUACAGGAUUUGAGGCGUCGAGCCGUUCGGCGUCUACCUCCAUCGGUGCCGCGGUUUCGGUAACUGGCUCGGGUAUUUCCUGUGUCGUUGGUGGGGUGAGCUCGGAGAUGAAAUCGGCAAUGGCCUGACCUUUUCGGCUGGCCUUGGCACGAAUUGUAUAUCGAAUUCUCCGAGUUCAAUCGCCCACUUGAUCAAUCGGCCGGAAGUCUCUGGUUUUUGGAGUACUUGCCGAAGCGGUUGGUUUGUCAGGACAUUGAUCCCGUGUGCUUGGAAGUAUGGCCGAAGUUUUCGUGCCGAGAUCACCAGGGCUAGUGCAAGCUGCUCUAAUGGGGGAUAUCGAAGUUCAGCGCUCUGGAGUGCCUUACUGACAUAGAAGAUCGGUAGCUCUGCCCUCUCCGGUUUUCGGAUUAACACCGAACUGACGGCAGUGUUAGAUACCGAGAGGUAUAGGUAAAGAAUCUCCCCAGGCAGUGGUUUUGACAGGAGAGGUGCUCUGCCCAUAUAGUCUUUUAAGUCUUGAAAUGCUUUAUCACAUUCGGCAGUCCAUAAGAUAUUCUGUUUGCCCCCUUUCAAGGCUUUAAAGAACGGUACACAUUUGUCGGUAGCCUUGGAUAUAAAGCGAGUCAGGGCAGCCACUCGUCCGGUAAGGCUUUGGAUGUCCUUUGUUGUUUUUGGCCUCUCCAUGUCGAUGAUGGCCUUUAUUUUUUCGGGGUUCGCUUCGAUACCCCUGUGACUAAUCAUGAAUCUGAGGAAUUUCCCGGAAGACACACCGAAGGCGCAUUUCAUCGGGUUUAACCUCAUUCGGUAGCCCUUCAGGAUACCGAACAUGAUAGACAGAUUGUGCAGGUGUUCUUCGGCUGUUCUGCUUUUCACCAACAUGUCGUCAACGUAAACCUCCAUGAUGCUGCCGAUGUGUUCGGCGAAGAUUCUGUUGACAAGCCUCUGAUAUGUUGCCCCCGCGUUCUUCAAGCCGAACGGCAUGACGUUGUAGCAGUACAACCCUCUGUCAGUGAUGAAGGCGGUGUGCUCGCUGUCGGGGGGGUGCAUAAAAAUCUGGUUGUACCCUGAAUAGGCGUCCAUGAAGCUGAGCAGCUCGUGUCCUGCCGUGGCGUCCACGAGCUGGUCUAUUCGGGGUAACAGAAAGCUGUCCUUCGGGCAGGCCUUGUUCAGAUCGGUGUAGUCUUGGCACAUUCUCCAGCCGCCUGUACCCUUUCGAACCAUGACUGAGUUCGCCAGCCAUACCGGGUACGUAACUUCCCUGAUGAAGCCGAUGGUUUGAAGUUUGUCAACUUCCGUCCGCAUGGCUUCGUACCGUUCGGCAUCAUACAAACGGCGCUUCUGCCUUACAGGUUUGUAGGUUGGGGAAAUGCUGAGUUUAUGGCUGAUGAUUUCAGGGUCUAUGCCGGGCAUGUCUUCGUAGGACCAUGCGAACACUUCCGAAUGGUGCCGUAAGAAGUCUAUAAACUGCGCUCGGAGGGCGGGGGUCAGUCUGGUACCGAUUUUAACCCGACGAUCGGGCUGUUCAUCGCUCAGGGUUAUCGUCUCCAGUUCUUCGACGGGUUGCGUAUAAGGAGUUGGUGACUCAUCUCUUGGGUCGUCAACUGGUCCGUUGCCGUUCGGCAUCCCCUGCACAGACAUGGUCUUGUCUGGGAUUUUGAGAGAGGUUGAUUUGAUCGCCGUGGCGUAGCAAGUCCGUGCGCUCAGCUAAUUUCCCCUGACAGAUCCUACGCCAUUUGGGGUCGGGAAUUUCAUCAACAGCAUGUGUGGGGAAAGAUGCGCCUUUACCCUGGUCAGUGCCGUUCGCCCAACAAUGACGUUGUACGCCGUCGGGCAGUCAACGAUGAGGAACUUGUCAUAUACCGUCGUUCUCUUUGGCGCGGUGCCGAAGGUAAUUGGGAGCGUUACGCUACCGACCGGUUGGACCAUGUCCCCGGAGAAACUUAGCAAAGGCGUCAACUGCCGGUUGACCUGGCUGUCCUGUAUUCCCAUUUCUCGGAAAGCUUCGGCGAAGAUUACGUUUACCGAGCUCCCUGUAUCAAUCAGUACUCUCCCUACAUCGUAAUCGGCAAUUUCUGCUCGGACGAUCAUUGGGUCGUCGUGGGGACAGAGAAUGCCCUGUUCCUCUUCUUUGCAAAACGUGAUCGGCUCCCAAUGAUCCUUCGGUGUUUCAUGGUGGCGAUUCACCUCUAUGCCGAACACCUGGGGAAACUGUGCGGCACGCACGUACUGCUUCAUCGAGCGAUUGCUCAGUCCUGCGAUGGUUGGGCCGCCGCUGAUAGUGCUUAUCAUGUUUAUCUGCCGAUUUGCGUUCGGCUCCGGCGCCGUUGGCUGCCGGGCGAUAUACUGGUCUAGCUUCCCCUCUCGGAUCAAGCGUUCGACGAUCUUCCUCAGGCUUAUGCAGUCUUCUGUAUUAUGGCUGUUGUGCUGAUGGUAUCGGCAGAAUUUACCGGUAUCCCGGUUGUCUUGCCGAUUGGGCCUUCGUUGAUUCGGCUUGGGUAUUUUUUCCUGUUCGUUCAUCAGGACGGCCUCGUAGGUAGUAUUCAACAGGGUGAAGACCUCAUUGCCAUGAUCCCGAUUCGGCAGGGGGGCUCGGUUGUCGUUGCGACUGUACCUCCCUUUUUCUUUCUUUGGGUGCUCCCUUCGAUCUGCACGAUCAUCCUUCCUCUUAUGACCUGCCGAGUAGGUGUCGACUCGCUCAUAAGGCGUUGCCCUUGCCGGAUAGGCACUUGGUUCCGCAUUUCCUUGCGGUGCCGAAACCGUGGGUUUCGAGUUGAAGUAUUCGGCCUUGGCGUGGAUUGCUGCCUGCUUCAUCAGUUCAUCGUACGUGCGCCAGUUGCUACUGUGCACCAGGUAUCGAAAAUGAGAGGACCGAAGGCCACUCUUGAAGGCGCCGUAGGCUGCCCUAUCAUCCGUUUCCGGACACCUUGAGUACUCGUGACUGAAACGCGCCGCGUAUUCUCUCAACGGUUCGUCCUCCCUUUGCCGAAUCGUGUACAGAUCAUCGGCGGAGUAGAGACGGUCCGUUUGGAUUAUGAAGUGAUUGAGGAAGAUCUGCUUCAGCUCAUCAAAGGAUGCUACCGUUUCCGGCUCUAAACGGUAGAACCAGUUCAAGGCUGCCCCGGUAAGGGAAGACGGGAAUAGCAGGCACUGCCCCUCAUCGCUCAAGCCCUUGCAUCCAAUAGCGGACUGGAAUGAAUGGAGGUGUGUCAAAGGGUCCUCCGUUCCUGUGUAGAACGUUAUACGCAGUUGCUGCACUUCCCUGUCUUGCCGAGAAUCCCGGAUGCGCCUUGUGAACGGUCCGGGCCGAAGCUUUCCCCAUUCCGGUUCUUGGGAGCGCGCAUUGUCGUUUUCCAUUUUCUGGACCUUCUGAAAAAGGAGUCGGAUCAUGGGGUCUCGGCUAGGGACUUCUUCGGAACCGUAAUCUUCCGAUUGUCUUUGUAGGUUUAGUGAAUUAUCCCCCGCAUACCGCGAUGGUGUUUCCGAACGGUAGUCGGGGGGAAGUGUCUUGGAAGGGAUGUACUCGGACUCCGAAGACUCGGCGGGGCCCAAUCCCCUGACCUUCCGAAUAGGCGACUUAUCCCCUAGGUUAUUCAUCCGUGAUUCCCUUAUUCGAGCGCCAAUCCUGAUCGGUGACCCCUCUCUCUCUGGCUCCCGAUCGUUAGUGCGAUGCUCCCGGUCGUUAAUCCGAUGUCGGCAAUCGGUGUAGACCUUCCUUGGGAUGUGCGGCUGAUCCCGGGGUGCCGGAACCACUAACUCUCUGGAAGGUGCGGGCGUUGCCUUCGCUACCUUCGCGCGUUUGUUCUUCCCGCGGGGGUUCUGCAAGCUCUCGGAAGAGCGAGUUGUCUGUAUGUUCUGCGGUUGCUGCUGGUGAAGCAACUGCUGGGUUUCGUCCACUUUGGACGAAAGGAAGUUGUUGUGUUCCUGAAGCCUCGCCAUGUCCUUCCGUAAGGAUGCGAUUUGGGCUGCCAUCUCGACUUCGGCAGCCGUUUGGGUAGCGGGGGCAUUUCCGAAGGGAGUGUUGGAGGUAGCGCUGGGCUAGCUCCGCUCUGCCUUCCGAACGGUACCCCCUCUUCCGCUAGGAACGUUUGUUUUGAAGUGGUCCCCAUGUGCUUAGGGGAUUGUGGGUUGAUGAUUUUUUGGUUUCCCACAGACGGCGCCAAACUGUUGAUGCGAAAAAGUGGUUUGAUACGUAAUUCGUCAACUUAGUCAAAAUGUCCCUUCGGUAGGUCCCCGUCCUUGGUAAGUGGUCCACUCCAGAGGGUCAAGUACCUGCAAAAGGACGCGUUCGGUAAAUCCUUGGGGUACCGGUGCGGUAUCGGCCGAAGGCUCUCCGAUGCCUAAAUGAGUACGGAUUUAGUAAGGUUAACUGACAGAUCACACGAUAGCGUACCGUUAGUUCUUCUUCUUCCCUUUUGGGGAUAUGGGUCUCCUUAUAUAGACCUUGGGAGGUGUGCUUUGUGCUCAUUUUUCCGAUGUGGGACUCCAGGCAUGGAUUGUGAACAUGACACGUGUCUGUUGGUAAAAAGGGCCAAGAUAUAUAGCUUCGGUAGUGAGCAUGCCGUAGGGGCCCUGUGAUCAGAGUGGAUCCUGUCCACGUGUCCGGUGGAAAUAGGCCGUUUAAUUAGGUAUAAACACCUGGUAAGGAAUAAGCAUGGCUAUUUACGAAACUAUAAUAUGAACAACACUGAGAAACACAAGUAUGGCCAUUUCAAACAGACUACAAAUAACUUCGUAUUCCAACAAUGAAUCAACAGCACCCAUGGCCAUAUACGUUUGCAGCAUCUGAAGGUAGAUCAUCUAAUUAAUGUUAGAAGGAUAAUAGUUUCUAAAGUUCUUUAUUAAAAAAAUCAAUAGACAACCACCAGAGACAAAUUUUGUUUUGGAGAAGAUGAUUAUUCUCAAUUCUUGACAGCUGCAUAAUGCUAAAAUAUGAAUAUGGUUUGAAUACUUUACUUUAGGUUAGUUGUAUUCUUCUUCAUAAAGAGGUAUAUAUGAGUUUACAAGGUGCUUUAUAAGGAAAUAGAUACAGUUAAUUACCAUGGUAUACAAAGUGACUUAGAGACAAAAACUCAGAGACCGACUUGACUUUCACCAUGCGGCUUCUGGAAGUGCAAAUGAACCAUGCACAAGACUUUUAGAGUGAGCUCUUUGGACGUGGACUUGUUAAAACAUGAAAGGUUUUGUGUUGAUUUUUCUCAAUCAUACAAUCCGUUAAUAUACAAAUUUAUGUACACGAACACUACUAAGGAAUGCAAAGACUUUAAGAUCAUACAAACUACAAGUACUUGUUGAGAGUAUUUAGUCCAUGUUUUUUUUUUAAAAAAAUGCAGACAUUCAUUUUGUAUUUUAUUUUCCGUUCAUGUUUUUUUAUGGUUUAUCAAACUCAUAUAAAUAUGAUACAUAAAGCAAAAAAUAGAGAGAGAAUAGUAAAACAUUCAAAAAAUUAAAAAUUGUUCUUACUUCAUUUUUUUUUGUUGGAAUGCAUUUAUUACACAUUGAAACUUUUCAUUAAAUAAGCAUAAUAUAGUAAAUAUAUAUAUAUAUAUAUAUAUUAGAUGGGGACCUAUUUUCUUGGGACACAACUUGACAGGACCCGAUCCAAAUUCCACUUUGGAAUCCGAGCCAUACCCUGUGUGUGUCCGACACUUGGCGAAUGUCGUUUUCCGGCGAGCUCCGGCCACGGAAACUCCGACGAAGGGUCAGAAAAUGACGGCGGUCGAGUGGUGGUUCGUUUGGUACCAACGGCGGAGAUCGGCUCCAAGCGUGGUGGCCGUGGCGACGAUGAGAAGGGAGGAAGGUCGGCUGGCGCGGGCUGAUCGGGAGGAGAGAGAGAAAAGAGAGAAAUUGAUGGGGGAAGAAAGAGAGAGAGAGAGAAACAGGUUUUAUAAAUCUAAUUUUCCAAUUUACCAUUUUCCCCCUCAUGAUAUUUUAAUCGUAUUGUCUUCAUGAAAAUUCCGAUUUGAGCUUACUUCGUGUCUAUGAACUCGUGUCGUCGUGCUCUACGGAACGGUGUAUGGGGAAUUGUCAAAUUCCUUUUCGGUCAAAAAGUCAACUUUGAGUUCAUAAGGUAGUCAAAGGGCAAAAUUGUCUUUCCGUAUAAUAAAUUACUCAUUAAAUAUGAAUUUUAGGUUUGGGUCAUUACACAACUUCUUUAUCUUUUUUUUUAGUUGGAUUCUUAAUUCUUAAAUUAAAAAAACGAAAAUAAAAAACCAAUUGGCACCAAGGUAGUAUAUAUGAAACAUCGUCAGAAAUUAAAUUUUUUUUUUUUUGAAAUGUUCAUAAAAACAAACAAACAAAAAUAUAUACAUACAUUAACAAAAAAAAUAAUUUUCAAAAUAAAUGCACAGUGCCCAAGGAAACUCCUUAUAUAAUGUAUGUCUCUUGAAAAUUGUCAACAAAUCCGCUGUAGCAAUACUUACAAAUGGAUAAUUGUAAUCCGGGUUCGAAUCCCGACAGUGGAAUUCUUUUUAAGUUAGAUGUAUGACAGGAUUCGCCCCAAAUUCCUCGGAACCCGAAAUGAAUCCUGUGAAAUUCCGACAUCACCCCGAUGCCGGGCCCACUUAUUAAAGACCAAGACUUUCUACCAAAAUUUUGGCAGAGUCUCCCCUGUAAUUUGAACAAUCCCAAAAAUUUCAACAUGCAUAAAAUACAUGUCAUAUCCCAACAAGCAGCACGCACAAUAUAAUUUCAUGCAAUUCACAAACUCGACCUUAGGCCCUCACAUGAACCGAAGCGAAACCAAACUACCAACAAAGCCCUUACGCCAAAAAUAUUGCCUUAAUAUGGUAUAACAACACCCUUAAUUCAUCUCUCUAUACGCCUGAAAUUCCAACGCUACGUAUGAGGUCUGUCUCAACGCCGAAAAAUCCUACGCCACGCGAGACCUAACAAAUCACAUAAUCUCCUCAUACGCCGAAAAUUCUAACGCCACAUAUGGGGUCUGUCAUCAUUGAUUUAGGAUAUUAUCUUGAGAGAUAUUAUCAUCAAUUAGUGAUUUAAUCCCAAUCAAAUUGUUAAUUGACUUAAUCUCUCCAUUUAAGGGAAAAAAUAUCUUCCUUCAAAAUAAGAAGAUAUUCGUUGAAAAUCUCUUCAUUUAGGUAAUUCUGAAACGUAGCAAGAAUUCCCCAAAACCUCUCUCUCUCUCUCUCUCUCUCUCUCUCUCUCUCUCUCUCUCUCUCUCUCUCUCUCUCUCUCUCUCUCUCCGCCCUAGCCGACGGCCUCUCUCACUCUUAUCUCUCACACACGGCCAAGUGCCACCACACACGGCUUUGGCCACUCGACUCUCCCCGUGAGAAAAAGCUCCGUACCAUUUUUAGCUAUUGCAACAUAUUUUCUCCUAUUGCCACAUAUUUUCUCAAAGAUCCAAUCGAACUAACUUAGGCAUCGGAGAGAUUUUGACGAACACCUACCAGGUGUGGUUUUUUACUCUUGUUUGUUUCGCAGUAACCGAGCAAGAGAGAGAAGGAAGCUCAAAAAGUGAAAGAUCCACAUGCGAAUAUUCUUCCUUGAGAAAUUUGCAUAAACAGAAGACGUGUGACAUAUUCUUGGUUCAAAAAUAUCCAUCCGAAACAAGGAAAAAAUUGUAAAACCAAACUUAAGAAAUUAUACCUCUAUUCUGGUCAGCAUGAAUGGAUAUGUCCAAACAAAUUUUAAUCCAACAAGAAAAAUCAGAGGAGAAGGUUUAGGGUUUCACAAACAGAUCUACCAAGUAAAACGAAUUAACAUAUGAUAUGGGCAAAAUAAAGAAAUGAGACCAAGAUAAAACUUCUAGAAAGGUGACAAAUUGUCCUUUGAAGUAAUUUUACGUAAGCAUAACAAUUCGAAAUAAAAGAUAAACAAACAAAAAUCCUAUGAAUGGAUGGGACGAGGAAAAUUGAAGCUGACAAUAAAGGUUACUAACUUACUUGGGAUGUAUCCAAAGAAAAAAAAAAACAUGAAGGGAAAUACUAGUUUUCCUUCCUUGUUUUACUUUUCUCCCUCAUUAAUUGUACUUGGCUUUAGCUCCAUGCAUCUUCUCCUCCUUCACGGCAGCUUGGCCCAUCAAUCACGCUAUGAAAACGGCAUUUUUCCAUUUCUUCCAGUCUGGCUACUUUGACAUUUCUUGGGUUUCAUUAUCUAAAUUAAUAUCUAGUACUUGUUUUUUUAUGUACUCGUGCCAAUAUUCAAAGUACCUGCUAUCAUAAAUAAACCUAUGUAAACAGGGACUAAACGUUUAUGGCCCGUUUCCUAGUGUUGAUGACCUAUCAUCUAAUGUUUGAGUUUAAUCCAAAUCUCUCUAGAAGUUUUUUUUUUUUCCUUUCUCUAUGAGGGUUCAAACGUGACACAUCUCGUAACUCGUCUAUAAGUUAAAGUCAAUUUCUAUUGCGCUAGAGACCCUAUUGGCCUCUAAAAGAUCUUUUAGUUACUUCUUUAUCCAAUUGAUCACUUUUUCUACUUUAAUUUUUCUGGAUUGAAUUUGAAUUUUCUGUAAUAUAUAUUUUUUUGGGAUAAUGUAAACAGGGGACUUCACUUCAUUGCAGGUCAAUGACGAUAUCUAGGAACAAUCCAUCAGUCUAGGACCAAACAUUAUGAGUCAUUUGUUAGUUUCCUCAGGGUCCUGUUUACGUGUUGCCAUGGCAGCUUAGACCCGUAAUCAAAAUCGCAAGAAAAGAUCAAAAGUUAGGCACGCUACAAGCCCUAUAUAAAGCACCCCCUGGCACCCAAGUUUAUCAUCAUCCUCCUCACCAAAUUACAAAUUAAUUAAGUUUAUCAGCAACAGCAAGCCAAUUAAGACAUUUCCAAGACGAUGAUGAAGAGCCAAGCAGCUCUCCUCGGCCUCACCACCUUGGCCAUCCUCUUCUUCUCAGGUAUAAUAUUAUACAAACUUUGUUAGUCGAUCAGAUAUCGAUCAAAAGUUUAUUUUUACAAUUGUCUCUGUAAUCUGUUUUCUUAUGAUCACGUUGAAUAUGCAGGUGCACAUGCAGCUAAAAUCACUUUCACAAACAAAUGUUCCUACACUGUCUGGCCAGGAACCCUAACCGGUGACCAAAAACCUCAAUUAUCACUCACCGGGUUCGAGUUAGCAACCGGAAUUAGCAACUCUGUGGACGCUCCGUCCCCGUGGUCCGGUCGCUUCUUUGGCCGAACCAGGUGCUCCACGGACGCGUCAGGAAAGUUCACUUGUGCCACAGCAGAUUGUGGCUCUGGCCAAGUCUCAUGCAACGGUAACGGCGCAGUUCCGCCAGCUACAUUAGUAGAAAUCACUAUUGCUGAGAACGGGGGUCAAGAUUUCUACGAUGUUAGUCUUGUUGACGGCUUCAACUUGCCCAUGUCCGUGGCUCCACAAGGCGGCACCGGAGAGUGUAAGGCCUCAACUUGCCCUGCCGAUAUUAACAAAGUGUGCCCGGCUGAGUUACAAGUGAAGGGAUCUGAUGGAAGCGUAAUUGCGUGCAAGAGCGCUUGCUUAGCAUUAAACCAGCCACAAUACUGUUGCACUCCCCCUAACGACAAGCCGGAGACAUGCCCUCCCACUGACUACUCUAAGCUCUUCAAGACCCAGUGCCCUCAAGCUUAUAGCUAUGCUUAUGAUGACAAGAGCAGCACCUUCACAUGCAGUGGUAGACCUGACUACCUCAUCACAUUCUGCCCAUAAGCAUACAUAUAUAUAUAAUGGGAUCUUAUAUGUUAUGACAUUAUACAUAUAGUUCCCAAUAACAGAGAAGAAUAAAUAAAUUUCCUGGAUCUUGACACAUUGUUGAUGUCAAGAAUUUGUAAUGCAGACGAUCAAAUAAAGGUAUAAAUGUUUGGAUUUUAUUUUCAUUCAUUUCCUUAUACGUGCAUUAUUUCCAGCAACAAAGCAUGAGAAUAAUAUAAAGAGAGUUAGCUGCAAACUGAAAUGGUUAUCAAACGGGAGUUUAAAUACGGAUUGUAAUUUUCUGUCAUGGCUGGUAAGGAAUAAGCAUGGCCAUUUACGAAACUAUAAUAUGAACAACACUGAGAAACACAAGUAUGGCCAUUUCAAACAGACUACAAAUGACUUCGUAUUCCAACAAUGAAUCAACAGCACCCAUGGCCAUAUGCGUUUGCAGCAUCUGAAGGUAGAUCAUCUAAUUAAUGUUAGAAGGAUAAUAGUUUCUAAAGUUCUUUAUUAAAAAAUCAAUAGACAACCACCAUGACUGUUUUGGGAAAUUAGAGACAAAUUUUGUCUUGGAGAAGAUGAUCACUUCUCAAUGCUUGACGGCUACAUAAUGCUAAAAUAUGAAUAUGGUUUGAAUACUUUAUUUUAGGUUAGUUGUAUUCUUCUUCAUAAAGAAGUAUAUAUAGGAGUUUGUUUUACAAGGAAAUAGAUACAGUAAAUCACCAUGGUAUACAAGGUGAUCACUUAGAGACAAAAAUUGAAAUGGUUCCCAAAGCCUUCCCUUAGCAAGCAGGUACCAUUGCAAGAAUGGUUCCAUAGUCAAUAAUGACAAGACCCGCAAGGAUGAUCUCGAAUUUAUAUGCAUGUUUUAAUUUCAUGGGCCUGUUGUUCUUCUACUACAGUAAUUAGAAUUUGUUUACAAGUGUGAAUUUUCCCAGAGCAAUUUCAGGGACCGACUUGACUUUCACCAUGCGGCCUCAGGAAGUGCAAAUGAACCCCGCACAAGACUUUUAGAGGGAGCUCUUUGGACGUGGACUUGUUAAAACAUGAAAGGUUUUUGUGUUGAUUUUUCUGAAUCAUACAAUCCGUUAAUAUACAAAUUUAUAUACACGGAGACUACUAAAGAAUGUAAAACUUUAAGAUCAUACAAACUACAAGUACUUGUUGAGAGUAUUUAGUCCAUGUUUUUUUUUUUUUAAUCCAGACAUUCAUUUUGUAUUUUAUUUUUUUUAUCGUUUAUCGAACUCAUAUAAACAUGAUAUAUAAAGCAAAAAGUAGAGAGAGAAUAGUAAAACAUUCAAAAAAGCAAAAAUUGUCCUUGCUUCAUAAUUUUAUUUCUUUGUUGGAAUGAAUUUAUUACGCAUUAAUUAAACUUUUCAUUAAAUAAGCAUAAUAUAGUAAAUUAAUAUAUAUAUAUUUUUUAAAAUGGGGACCUAUUUUCAUGAGAUACUUCUUCUUCUUCUUUUUUUUUUUUUUUGUUAGAUUCUCUUUCUUAAUUCUUAAAUUCAAAAAAUGAAAAUAAAAAACCAAUUGGCACCAAGGUAGUAUAUGUGAAACAUCGUCGGAAAUUUAAUUGUUUUUUAUUGAAAUGUUCAUAAAAACAAACUAACAAAAUAUAUACAUACAUUAGAAAAAAAAAAAUUUGUUUCAAAAUAAAUGCACAGUGCCCAAGGAAUCUCCUUAUGUAACUUAUGUCUCUUCAAAACUGUAAAAAAAAAAAUCCGCUAUAGCAAUACUCACAAGUGGAUAAUUGUAAUCCGGGUUCGAAUUCCGGCAGUAGAAUUCUUUUUAAGUUAGAUGUAAAUGUGAUCCAUUUUAUAUCAGUUAUAAUAGUUGUCGUAAUGAGCUUCUUUUUAAGUCUCUGUUUAUAUAGCAGCUUCUUCCCUAACUUGAGUAGAAUCCAAUUUGCGGCUAAGAUCACUUAAGAUGCAAGACUUUUAGUCACAAAGUAAAUAUUCCUAUUUCAGUCCUUGUCAAAACUUUGGCAAAAAAAAAAAGAAAAAUGAUUCCUAUCAAAACAUAGAGCAUCCACAAUGGGAGGGUGUAUAUGAGGGUGUAUGUUAAAUAUACAUCCCUUGUCACCGGAAUCAUCUGCAAUGGGGAGAUGAAAAGGGUUGUAAAUAUACAUCACCACCAUGGAGAUGUAAAAAAAUGUACAUUUACAUCUAUUUUUACAUCUUUUGCAAGUGGGACCCACCCGAAAAAAGAGAAGAAAAAUGAAGAAAAGUCAGCAUAAAAGGCUGGGACCCGCGGCUACAGUAAUUGCUAGAAAAAAAAAAUCACAUGUUGUUUGCUUAUUUGUGGUUUUCAUGCUCCCCCAAUGUUUUUGGAUGAUCAUAUCUUCUCCGAAUUUCAAUAUUUUUAGGGCUAUUUGUUUGAAAAAUUAAAAUUAACCUCAUACAAAAAAAAAUUAAUUUUAUAAAGUAAACACAAAAUACAAAUUUAACACAAAAACGAAUUAAGAAAAAUAAAACAAUUACACAUCUUAGAUUUACAUCUUCUCCUAUUGGAGCCAAAAACGUAUUUACAUCCCCUGGAGGUGUAAAGGGGAUGUAAAAGUGGCUUUACACCCCCGAAUUUACGCCCCUUACUGUGGAUGCUCUCAGUGCAUAUGAUGUACAGAUAAUUCACCAAAAAAAAAAAAAAAGGAAAUUAGUAUUGACAGUAUUCCACAUGGGAAGAUGGAAACGUUGUAAUAUAGUGCUUAAACUUCUCCACCUAUUGUCAAUUAUUUUUACGUUGAAUGCUGAUAUCUUAAAGAUAACGCUACUCAAUCAGGUUCUUAUUUGACUCUCAACAUUGAAAAAUGCAUUACAAACUAAAGUUCAUUUUAUCGUGGAAUAUAUAUAUUUUUUCAUGGACCCUGAAAUUUAGAAAACAAUUAAAAAGGCAAAAAAGAAAAAGAAAAAUAGGCAAUUUAGGGUCCUUUCAGUAAUGUUUUCGGAGAAUAUAUUCAGAAAAUGAAAAUGAGAAAACGAAUAUACAUUUUCAAGAUUCGAGAAUGCAUAUGGUAGACUAAGUAAAUAUUUUUCGAGAACGAAAACAGUAAAAACGUGUCUAAUACGAACAUAUGAAAAUGACAAAAAUACUGAAUUGGCAACAGUAUUAUAAAAAUUAUUUUCAACAUCAUAAAUCAAAUAUUGUGUGUAGCACAUAUCUUAUCAGACUUACUAAUAGGCCAAAAAAUUUCUUAAAAAUUGUGCAAUGGUCUAAUUAAUUAUCAUUAUCCAAUACAUGCUAGAUAACCCAAAAUGGGCUCAUGUCCUCCAAGAUAUCAUCCUACAUCAUAGAUCAAAUCUCUUAUAGUCUCACAAAUAUUUGAAAAAUAUGCAAAAUAAAAUUUAAAAUCAUGUUGUCAUGAGCACUAAAUAAAACCCCACCAUAAAUUUGCUGCGAUAUAUUGUCUCUAAUGUCGCCUAUUUGUGCAAUAUUUCCUUUUGACAUAUCUAUAUUCGGUGGUAUUGUAUUUUUUGAGUCAAUGAUCAUGUCUUCAACUUGGAACUCUUCGAUCAUCCUAUCACGACCAACUUCUUUUCUUAUAAAAUUAUGCAACACACAACAUACAAUAGGAACUCAUUGUUGCCUUCUCGGAGGAUAAUUAGGCAUCAAUUUCAAAAUUAGAAAAAGAGCUUUCAAAACACCAAAACAUCGCUCAAUUACAUUACAUAAUGAGGAGUGCCUAUAGCUCAACAAUUCCAUAGGACCUCUUGGUGUUUGUCGAGGUCCUCUAUCAUCACGCAAAUGAUAUCUCUCACCUCGAUAGGGUGCCAAGAAUUCAGGCACUUUUGAAUAUCCAACAUCCACAACAAUACCCUGUAAUUGUAAUUUAUUACUUGCAAGACACAAAUAAUGUACAUAAUAAUAUUAAUUGUAAUCUUAUGUUUAUACCUUCUUCUGGAAAAGGAAACUCUCAUUUUCUGGCCUUAUCACUGCAUCUAUGAACACCCUAGAGUCAUUUGCAGUUCCUUCCCAGCCCGUAUAAACAAAAGUGAACAUCAUGUCCAAAGAGCAAGCACACAUGGCCUUUUGAGUAAUAAGAAUCUUCCUACCAUGAUAUGAGGUUUGCUUUUGAGUUGGUGCCUAAGCAACAACAUGAGUUCCAUCAAUUGCACUAACACACUUCUGCGAUAAAUUCAUAUAUUUACAAACUAUAAAGUAAAUAUAAUUUAAAAUAUAUAAUUAUAAUAAUAAAAUAAAUAAAAUUAACAAUUGAUUUCUCACCUCAAAAUAAGGAUAAUACUUUAGGUUAUUCAAAAUUUCAGAAGGUGUUUCCUCUCGACUUUGUGGCCUUAUAAUACGUGGUGCUAAAGCACAUAAAGCUCCCAAAACACACUAAAAUUGUCUAUGAAUUGUGUCUUUAGAUCGUUGGAAAUGAUCAACAGCCAGUCACAUGCAGAUAUUAUGAGACACUAUAAAUAUGAAAAUUGCCAUUGCCUUAUAAGUACCCACAUUUCUAUCAUUCUGUGGCAAAUUUAAACUCUCAAGUGUGUAACGCAACCUUUGGAAUACAUGUUUGUACAUGUGAAACGAGUCUUAAAUCCUAUCUGCUGGAUGCCCAUUCAAACAUAUUCAUGCUCGGAUAAAACAGAAUUAUGACAUGGAGUUCUAUGUACAUAUGAUUGCCAAUAUUCAUAAAUAUGCAUACAAAUUAUCAUAUGAUGCACCAUUUCCUUCGGAUCUGAAUCACUAUCGGAGUGAUUGUCUUCAUUCCUUAUAGACAUGUCUAGUACCUUCAAGUAUUCAAAUUCAAUAAAGAAUUAUGCAUACAAAUUAAAGUCACAAAAAUCUAAAAUAUGCAUACAAAUUAAAGUCACAAACAUCAAACAGAAUAAGAAGAACAAUUCAUUAGUAUUCUCUCAACAAUAAACAUAAGUAGCAAUCCUAAAGACUAGCCAACCAAACUCUCCUCCUUUCUUCUGGCAUUAUAACAAAGAUUUUCCUCCAUUCAACAAUCACUAUCUUUUCUAGCAUCUUGUCGAUGUAUUGUUAUCAAUAUCUCCCAUUGUCUCAACAAUUCCUAUGCAUUCUUCAAUCGAAUACAUUUCCUUAGAGGUGCUAGAUGCCUCAAGCAAUGGCCACAGCAGCAAGCAACAACAGCAACAAUAGAAGCUACUCUGCCAUCUUCUGCCGCUUCCAUCUGUCUAGCCGUCAUGUCACGACGACAACCCGCAAACAAAAAGAAAAAGAAAAAGGCCACGCUAGCCGCCGCUACCAUCGAUACCGAUCAUGACAACAACUAACCGGGCCCACCUAGUUGGUACUCAUGUCGAAGAAGAAAAGAAGAAGAAAAAAAAAUCAAAUUCGAUUUACCUUGGGGUGUACGGCAACUCCUCUCUUCAACAAGCAGUACAAUUCUCCAAGAUCUCUCUCAAACUAGAAAGCAAAGAAGACAAGUUUUCAAUUUGAAGAAGAGCGAAAAGAAGCUUUGUAUUUAUAAAGAUUGGGCAUCCUAGGUCAAGAAGGAAGCACGAGUUCAUUUCCAUUAGGAGCUCAACUCAAGAAAAAGUCAAAAGCCUACUCCAAUUAGGAGCCCAAUUGGCAAAAGGAUUCCAACUCAAAGAAGAAAGCCCAAAUGCAGUUGGAAAGCCCGAAAAGUAUUUCUCACCUCCUCUACACCUCACAAGCGCCAUGCAAAAGUUGGGGGACAUUUGUGGGAGAAAAUAAUCAAGUUUCCAAUCAUAAGGUGCCACAUGGACAAGAAGAAUAUCUCCUAUGUCAAUUAAUUGAGCCCAUUUAUUUGGCUAAUUAGUUGAUCUAAAAAUAGGGAUAUUAUCUUAAAUAUGGGAUAUUAUCUUUAUUUGGGAAUAUAAUUACCAAUUAAAAGAUAAUAUCAUCAAUUUAGGAUAUUAUCUUAAUUGGGAUAUAUUAUCAUCAAUCAAUGAUUUAAUCCCAAUCAAAUUCUUAAUUGACUUAAUCUCUCCAUUUAGGGGAAAAAAUAUCUUCCUUCCAAAUAAGAAGAUAUUCUUUGAAAAUCUCUCCAUUUAGGUAAUUCCGAAACCUAGCAAGAAUUCACCAAAACCUCUCUCUCUCUCGCCGACGGCCUCUCUCACUCUUAUCUCUCUCACACGGCCAAGUGCCACCACACACGGUUCUGGCCCCCUGACUCUCCCCCGGAGAGAAAGCUCUGUACCUUUUUAGUUAUUGCCACAUAUUUUCUCAAAGAUCCAAUCGAACUAACUUAGGCAUCCGAGGGACUUUGGCCAACAACUUCCGGAUAUAGUUUUUUACUCAUGUUUGUUUCGUAGGAACGAGGAAGAGAGAGAAGAAAGCUCAAAAGGUGAAGGAUCUACAUGCGAAUACUCUUCCUUGAGAAAUUUGCAUAAACAGAAGAAGUGUGACAUAUUCUUAAUUCAAAAAUAUCCAUCCGAAACAAGGAAAAAAUUGUAAAACUAAACUUAUGAAAUUAUACCUCUAUUCUGGUCAGCAUGAAUGGAUAUGUCCAAACAAAUUUUAAUCCAAAAAGAAAAAUCAGAGGUGAAGGUUUAGGGUUUCACAAACAGAUCUACUAAGUAAAACGAAUUAACAUAUGAUAUGGGCAAAAUAAAGAAAUGAGACCAAGAUAAAACUUCUAGAAACGUGACAAAUUGUCCUUUGAAGUAAUUUUACGUAAGCAUAACAAUUCGAAAUAAAAGAUAAACAAAUAAAAAAUCCUAUGAAUGUGGAUGGGACGAGGAAAAUUGAAGCUGACAAUAAAGGUUACUUGGGAUAUAUCCAAAGAAAAAAAAAGAAGAGAAAUACUACUUUUCCUUCCUUGUUUUACUUUUCUCCCUCAUUAAUUGUACUUAGCUUUAGCUCCAUGCAUCUUCUCCUCCUUCACAGCAGCCUAGGCCAUCAAUCACGCUAUGAAAAUGGUUACGUGGCGCACGCCUGGUUGUGUAUGGACUGUUUUUCAAAAUCACGAGUGUUCUUAAUCAACGUUUUAAUUUGAUAUGGUUGGCAAUUUUCCAAUUCUCCCAGUCUUGCUACUUUGACUAAAUUAAUAUCUACUUGUUUUUUUAUGUUUGCAAGUAAUAUGUACUCGUGCCAGUAUUCAAAGUACCUGCUAUUACAAAUAAACCAAUGUAAACAGGGACUAAGCGUUUAUGGCCCGUUUCCUAGUAUUGAUGACCUAUCAUCUAAUGUUUGGGUUUAAUCCAAAUCUCUCUAGAAGUUUUUUUUAUUUUUUUUUUAUUUUUUUAUGAGGGUUCAAAUGUGACACCACUUGUCUACAAGUUAAGGUCAUUUUCUAUUGCGCUAGAGACUCUAUUGGCCUCUAAAAAAUCUUUUAGUUACUUCUUUAUUAAUGUAUACACGUGACUAGAGACCAUCUAAUAGUUAUCACAUUUUCCAUUUACAUGUGUGUCUGUGACUAAGCUAACAAUUGUAACUAUAUAUGUUUAUCCAAUUGAUCACUUUUUCUACACUUAUCUACAUGUGUGUCUGGCCUAUAUGAUGACUUUAAUUUUUCUGGAUUGAAUUUGAAUUUUCUGUAAUAUAAAUUUUUUGGGAUAAUGUGGGGACUUCAUUGCAGGUCAAUGACGUUAUCUAGGACCAAAUAUUACGAGUAAUUUAUUAGUUUCCCCAGGGUCCUGUUUACGUGUUACCAUGGCAGCUUAGACCCGUAAUCAAAAUAGCAAGAAAAGAUCAAAAGUUAGGCACGCUACAAGCCCUAUAUAAAGCACCCCCUGGCACCCAAGUUUAUCAUCAUCCUUCUCACCAAAUUACAAGUUAAUUAAGUUUAUCAGCAAGAGCAACAGCAAGCCAAUUAAGACAUUUCCAUGACGAUGAUGAAGAGCCAAGCAGCUCUCCUCGGCCUCACCACCUUGGCCAUCCUCUUCUUCUCAGGUAUAAUAUUAUACAAACUUUGUUAGGUGAUCAGAUAUCGAUCAAAAAGUUUAUUUUUACAAUUGUCUCUGUAAUCUUUAGUCUUAUGAUCAUGGUUUAAUGUACUUUGAAUAUGCAGGUGCACAUGCAGCUAAAAUCACUUUCACAAACAAAUGUUCCUACACUGUCUGGCCAGGAACCCUAACCGGUGACCAAAAACCUCAAUUAUCACUCACCGGGUUCAAGUUAGCAACCGGAAUUAGCCGCUCUGUGGACGCACCGUCCCCAUGGUCCGGUCGCUUCUUUGGCCGAACCAGGUGCUCCACGGACGCGUCAGGAAAGUUCACUUGUGCCACAGCAGAUUGUGGUUCUGGCCAAGUCUCAUGCAACGGUAACGGCGCAGCUCCGCCCGCUACAUUAGUAGAAAUCACUAUUGCUUCGAACGGGGGUCAAGACUUCUACGACGUUAGUCUUGUUGACGGCUUCAACUUGCCCAUGUCCGUGGCUCCACAAGGCGGCACCGGCAAGUGUAAGGCCUCAACUUGCCCUGCCGAUAUUAACAAAGUGUGCCCGGCUCCGUUACAAGUGAAGGGAUCUGAUGGAAGCGUAAUUGCGUGCAAGAGCGCUUGCUUAGCAUUCAACCAGCCAAAAUACUGUUGCACUCCACCUAACGACAAGCCGGAGACAUGCCCUCCCACUGAUUACUCUAAGCUCUUCAAGACCCAGUGCCCUCAAGCUUAUAGCUAUGCUUAUGAUGACAAGAGCAGCACCUUCACAUGCAGUGGUAGACCUGACUACCUCAUCACAUUCUGCCCAUAAGCAUAUAUAUAUAUAUAGAAUGGGAUCUUAUAUGAUAUGAUAUUAUACAUAUAGUUCCCAAUAAAUAAAUUUCCUGGAUCUUGACACAUUGUUGAUGUCAAGAAUUUGUAAUGCAGACGAUCAAAUAAAGGAAUAAAUGUUUGGAUUUUAUUUUC
RNAcentral lists this long non-coding RNA (24653 nucleotides) under Prunus persica (peach). RNAcentral describes it as "long non-coding RNA (PPER_LNC003619)". Lineage: Eukaryota; Viridiplantae; Streptophyta; Magnoliopsida; Rosales; Rosaceae. The record is from RNAcentral.